RNAcentral lists this transfer RNA (75 nucleotides) under Bacillus velezensis. RNAcentral describes it as "tRNA-Gly". It matches the Rfam family "tRNA". Rfam says of the family: Transfer RNA (tRNA) molecules are approximately 80 nucleotides in length. Their secondary structure includes four short double-helical elements and three loops (D, anti-codon, and T loops). Further hydrogen bonds mediate the characteristic L-shaped molecular structure. tRNAs have two regions of fundamental functional importance: the anti-codon, which is responsible for specific mRNA codon recognition, and the 3' end, to which the tRNAs corresponding amino acid is attached (by aminoacyl-tRNA synthetases). tRNAs cope with the degeneracy of the genetic code in two manners: having more than one tRNA (with a specific anti-codon) for a particular amino acid; and 'wobble' base-pairing, i.e. permitting non-standard base-pairing at the 3rd anti-codon position. The record is from RNAcentral. Lineage: Bacteria; Bacillati; Bacillota; Bacilli; Caryophanales; Bacillaceae.
GCGGAAGUAGUUCAGUGGUAGAACAUCACCUUGCCAAGGUGGGGGUCGCGGGUUCGAAUCCCGUCUCCCGCUCCA